This 454-nucleotide unclassified non-coding RNA is filed under the name Hevea brasiliensis (rubber tree). Lineage: Eukaryota; Viridiplantae; Streptophyta; Magnoliopsida; Malpighiales; Euphorbiaceae. The record is from RNAcentral.
GCUUUGUGAACCAGAAAUAAACCAAAUCCAAAUAUUUUAGACUCACUAGAAGUCAUCCCACCCAAAUGAGGCCCUGUAUAACAAAAUCGCUGCUGAUACAAAAUUUUCGAUUUACCUUAAAGACCAUCCAUCAUUAACAUUAACCCACUAAAGGGUAAAAUGAUGCAUACAUGUUAAUAGACUAAAAAGAACAUUCAGUGUGGAAACCAAAGCAUAUUUUGCAACCCAGCCCGAGCUAUAUCCUUGCAUCAGCAAAACCUUUAAACUCGUCAACUUCAGGCAACAAGUAAAAAUGAUUGUGGUUCUGCUGCUUCGAUUAAUCUACAUUGUAAGGGUUACAACAAAGGCCACAGCAAGAUUCAACAUCUCACGAUAUGUAGCACGCUUCCUUAGAGAAGUCCUUGCAAAGCUGGCUGACACCCAAAAAAAGAAAAUCGAAGAGAGAGAGAGAGAG